RNAcentral lists this ribosomal RNA (445 nucleotides) under uncultured bacterium. RNAcentral's name for it is "partial 16S ribosomal RNA". It matches the Rfam family "Bacterial small subunit ribosomal RNA", at positions 354 to 796 of the family's 1533-position model. The record is from RNAcentral.
GUGAGGAAUAUUGCGCAAUGGAGGCAACUCUGACGCAGCCAUGCCGCGUGCAGGAAGAAGGCGCUACGCGUUGUAAAAUGCUUUUAACCGGGAAGAAACCCCAGGACGAGUCCUGGGUUGACGGUACCGGAGGAAUAAGCACCGGCUAACUUCGUGCCAGUAGCCGCGGUAAUACGAAGGGUGCAAGCGUUAUCAGGAUUCAUUGGGUUUAAAGGGUGCGUAGGCGGAGCGUUAAGUCAGUGGUGAAAACCUGCAGCUUAACUGUAGACUUGCCAUUGAUACUGGCGCUCUUGAGUACGCUUGAAGUGGGCGGAAUGUGCCGUGUAGCGGUGAAAUGCUGAGAUAUGGCACAGAACACCAAUUGCGAAGGCAGCUCACUAAGGCGAUACUGACGCUGAGGCACGAAAGCGUGGGGAUCGAACAGGAUUAGAUACCCCAGUAGUCC